RNAcentral lists this long non-coding RNA (288 nucleotides) under Brassica napus (rape). RNAcentral's name for it is "long non-coding RNA (BNAP_LNC020026)". Lineage: Eukaryota; Viridiplantae; Streptophyta; Magnoliopsida; Brassicales; Brassicaceae. The record is from RNAcentral.
AGAGUUUCCGAGGACUGAAAUUCUGCCGGGAAGUUCCGAAAUACUAUCCAGAAGCUAGAGGAGGCUCUGUCCGGCUUCUGAUCAGUCCAGUCCAGUCCAAUCAAGACAUUGACGUUGGGUUUUGGCUAAGCACUCUCCGAUCAACCAGCUGCUCACUGGCCUAGAACACUGUGAGUUGGUUUUGUUUGAAUUCCACUUGGAAUUUAGGGUAUAUCGAGUCUGCAUAAAGAUUAGAAUAAUCACACUGUUGCAUGAUAGAGUCCUUAAGGUUAUUUAUUAAACCGGACU